AACGAACGCUGGCGGCAUGCCUAGCACAUGCAAGUCGAACGAGAUCUUCGGGUCUAGUGGCGCACGGGUGCGUAACGCGUGGGAAUCUGCCCUUUGGUUCGGAAUAACAGUUGGAAACGACUGCCAAUACCGGAUGAUGACGAAAGUCCAAAGAUUUAUCGCCAGAGGAUGAGCCCGCGUAGGAUUAGCUAGUUAGUGUGGUAACGGCGCACCAAGGCGACGAUCCUUAGCUGGUCUGAGAGGAUGAUCAGCCACACUGGGACUGAGACACGGCCCAGACUCCUACGGGAGGCAGCAGUGGGGAAUAUUGGACAAUGGGCGAAAGCCUGAUCCAGCAAUGCCGCGUGAGUGGUGAAGGCCUUAGGGUUGUAAAGCUCUUUUACCCGGGAUGAUAAUGACAGUACCGGGAGAAUAAGCUCCGGCUAACUCCGUGCCAGCAGCCGCCGCAG
Molecule: ribosomal RNA, 449 nt
Filed under: uncultured bacterium
Lineage: Bacteria
Description: partial 16S ribosomal RNA
Rfam family: Bacterial small subunit ribosomal RNA
Source: RNAcentral